RNAcentral lists this ribosomal RNA (367 nucleotides) under uncultured microorganism. RNAcentral describes it as "bacterial SSU rRNA". It matches the Rfam family "Archaeal small subunit ribosomal RNA", at positions 330 to 703 of the family's 1478-position model. The record is from RNAcentral.
GCGCAGCAGGCGAGAAACUUUACAAUGUGCGAAAGCACGAUAAGGGAACUCUGAGUGCCUCCUAAGGAGGCUGUUCAGGUGUCUAAAAGCACCUGAAGGAAGGGCCGGGUAAGACCGGUGCCAGCCGCCGCGGUAACACCGGCAGCCCAAGUGGUAGCCACGUUUAUUGGGUCUAAAGCGUCCGUAGCCGGCUGGGUAAGUUCCUUGGGAAAUUUGGCUGCUUAACAGUCAAGCUUUCAGGGAAUACUGCCCGGCUUGGGACCGGGAGAGGUCAGAGGUACUCCAGGGGUAGGGGUGAAAUCCAUUAAUCCUUGGGGGACCACCGGUAGCGAAGGCGUCUGACCAGACCCGGGUCCGACGGUGAGGG